This is an RNA transcript of Nasonia vitripennis (jewel wasp), 4161 nucleotides long. It is a transcript of the gene named ribosomal oxygenase 1, with no coding region annotated. The transcript has 7 exons. NCBI's taxonomy places the organism in Eukaryota, Metazoa, Arthropoda, Insecta, Hymenoptera, Pteromalidae. The record is from RefSeq and is a predicted model, not a curated record.
AAAAAAGUCAAUACUAUAUCUAUAUCAGCGUAUUCCGAAACUUGCAGUACAUUGUGCUAACUUGCAAAGCCGUUGGCCCGUUGCCCGUUGAUUAUAGGUACAGAAGUGUGCUACUAAGGUACUAUAAAGUAGCCUAUUUUUGUGCGUUUUACGGCUUUAUUAAAAAUUAUCAACGAAAAUUAUAUUAAUCAUUGGAUAAAAUUACACAUACAUAUAUACGCAGUAAAUUUAUAAAAAUAAUAGUAGAAUAAGGCUGUGAAAUGCAAUCUGAUUAUAACCUCAAAUCUUGUAUACAUUAAUGAGUAAAAAUAUAGAUUUACAAAUUUGUGAUACUUACAUAUACAGUGAUGACUUCUACAAAACGUAAACGAAUCUCUACAAGAAAUAAACAAUUUCUUGAACCUGAUUUUGAAAUAGAAGUUAGUUCAAGUACCCUGCACCGUUGGAAAAAAUUAUGUAAAUCUGAAAAUUGCGUUAUUAAAAAUGAAACCUUGGGACAAAACAUUUCUAAUGAAGAUUUCAAUAAACCGCAAAAUUGCAAAUCAACUAACAACGAUUGUAGAGGAAAUUUUUUAAUUCCAAGCAAAUCCCUCGAAUUAAAUAUUUAUAAUGAAGGCUGCAAUAACAAGGAAGAUAGCAACUUAAAUAGUAAAGGUUAUGAUAUCGCACAUCUUGUUACACAAAAUAGUUCUUUUAAUAAUUGUAACGGUAAUUUUCCAUCUUCUUGUAAUGCUAAUGAAGAAAGUGCGCUUAAUGAUAAAGACAACAGCAGUGAAGAAUGUGAUUUCAUAUUAAAUUCCAUAUUCAUUACUCGUAAAACAGCGAAACAUUUUGAGCAGGCUGCAAAUAUUAUAGAAACAGCUUCUGGAUCAUUCAUAGCAGAAUCUUCUGAGGAUAACCAUUAUGAGAGUGAUGUAAGUGAUACGCAUCACAGUAGUUUAGAAGAUAAUGAUUCAACUCAUAGUGAUGCUAUAAUUGUUGAAACAAUUAGUAGUCAUGACGCAAAUACAGAUGAGGAUUCUGGUGAAAGUAACAGAAAUGCAGAAAAAGUUUCUAACGUUAGAACGAAUACUCAAGACAAUCGUAUUAUGUUUCACGACUCCAAAAUCACAGUGCAUGAAACAAGUGUAAUUUUAACAGCAUUAAGUACAAAAUACCACCUACCUGAUGUUGCACAAGAACAGUUUGGUUCUUUUAUAAAACUUUUGGGUCCACAUAAUUUUAAUCAUAAAUCACUGUUUAACAAUUACUACUUGUCUGAAAAAUUUUCUGUGCUUUAUGGUAUUAUAAAUUACCAUUUUUAUUGUGAGUCUUGUGAAGAACAAAUUUUAUAUACAACAAAGCAAGAUGUUUUACCAAAAAUCAGUAAAGAAUGUCCUAUUUGUGAAAAAAAAAACAAAUAUUAUCUUAUAAUAAUGCACCAUAUUUCACAUCUAUCAGCAUCAAAUAUCAAUUGAAGCAGCUAUUAAAAACAAAAAAAAAUACGAACUGUCACUGGAUGAAAAUUAUUGCACAGUAUAUACUGAUGGAGCACCAAUUUUUAAAAAUUCUCUUACUUCUAUGUGGCCAGUACAAUUAAGGCUAAAUGAAUUAUUACCAAUGGAUAAUGCAAACAAUGUUAUUUUAAGCAGGUUUUUUCUUGUGAAUAAGGAACCAAGCUCAAAACUAAACAAUUUAUACUUAAAAACUGUGCUUGUAGAAAAUAUUAAAAAAUUAAGUUCUACGCGCUUAAUUUAUAAUGAUGAAGGUAAAAACAUUAAAUUCAAAAUGUUUUUAUUAUUAGUAACUGUGGAUUCUAAAGCAAGACCAGUUAUACAAUCUAGAUUGCAGUUUAAUGCUUAUUAUGGAUACGCUUGGUGUUAUGCUCGGGGUGAAUAUACUAACACCAUGAGGUAUACAUUUAAAUUUAGUGACUCUAAAAUAAGAACAGAUGCAUCGCACAUACAAGGUAUGCGUAAAGUAAUGGACUAUAAUUUAAAAAAUUUUAAUGGCGUAAAAGGACCAUGCAUAUUAAUGCAACUACCUGAUUUUGAUCCAGUAUGGUGGUUCUCGAUUGAUAUUUUGCAUUGUGUAUGUCUUGGUGUAACAAAGCAAUUUUGGGAUAAUUGGACUCAAACUAACAGCCCAUUUUACAUUAACAGUCAUAAGCAAAAAAUAGUCAAUAAACAAUUAUUAAACUUUCAAUUGCCAUCAGAAAUUCAUAGAAGUUGUCGCUCAUUUGGACCAAGAAUUAAAAAGAAAGGAUCAGAGUGGCUUUCAUGGCUUCUUUUUUUCAGUAUUAUUUGUUUGCAAAAUAUUCUUCCAGAUGAAGCUUUAUGUCAUUUCAGCAUAUUAAUAAAAUGUGUGUACACUUUAUAAAAAAAAAAAAAAAAACAAUAACUGAAGAGGAAUGCCUGAAUUGUCAUAAAGAACUAUUAACAUUUGUUGGACAGUGUGAAUUAUACUAUGGAAUAAAUGACAUGACUUUCAACGUUCACAGUCUCUUACAUUUAGCUUACAGUGUAAAAACGUCUAGCCCAUUGUUGGCAACAUCUACUUUUCCAGCAGAAAGUUUUAUGUUCCAAUUACAACAAUCAAAAACUUCAUCUAAAGGUGUCGAUAAACAGAUUAUUAGAAGGUACUUGAAAAUGAAUUUAUUAAAAUGGAAUGAAUUGCCACUACUAACACCAAACAAAAUUAGUACAAAAUUCACUGAGAGUAUUUUGUAUAAUAAACCUUUUUACGCAGAUGAAAGUGAAGAUGUAGUGCUUUCAAAUUUAGAAUAUGAUGAUGGGAUAUAAAAGUAUAAUCAAUGCAUAUACUUUGGAAAUAUUUACACAUCCCAAAAGUAUUCUGUUGGGAUGAAAAGAAAUAAUAGUAUUGUAUAAUUGAAAAGUAAUAUUAUUGUACAAAUUUUGUAUUUUUUUUUUAAAUUGACGAUGAUAUUUACAUCAAAGCAAAAGUUAUUUCUACUCAAUUUGCCUUACUAGAUAUGCCUCAUAUUUGGAGAGUUGAAAAUAUACUAAAUGAAAGCAUUGUAGAGAGCAUUACUUCGAUUGCUACUAAGAUUGAUUUACACAAGAUUCCUCUUGCUAUAAGAGUGAUUUCAAAAUGUUUUGUCAUUUUCUAGUAUGUCUGCAGAAUUUACAGCAGUCGAUAAACAUUUUUUUGUAACACAAGCACGAUUUUUCUGGCCUAUAAAGCGGGAUUAAAGUGACUUUUUUCAGACCGACAGGCAAACAAAAAUUAAAAAACGCCCGCUACUCAAGUAUCGAAAAUUUUUUGGAAAAUUAUAUGUAUAUAUAUUGUAACGAGUGCUGAGAUUUUGAAUCUCGCGCGCACGUAUGUCGCGCGAUUACAAACGAGACGUCAGCGGUUGGCGAUGACGAAGGAUUUUCCGUGGAGAGACAAGCGCGCGUUCAAACUCGAUUUUGCUUUGGUAGUGCUUACAUCUACGCGAUAAACUCCGUCGAGAAACCACGAGCCGAUCCACCCCACUCGGCGCACAAGAGAACCCAUAGUGCUUCAAGUGACUGGAGCCACAGCAGCCAACUUCUACUCCUGGGGAGCCGUGACCGGUCGCGAGGACGAGGAAAAGCAUUCGACCAGCGAGCGAAAAAAAUUGGGAAAAAAAUCCUUUGCAUAUCAAACGGAAUAAACCAAAAUAUUAUCAAAGUUUGAUGACUACACCAAUGCUUGAUCAAAUAUUAAGGAAAAAUUAUAUUUUAUUUACAAAAAAUAUAGACAUUACAUCAUUCACAAAUAACAAACGUGAAACUCAUAAUCCACAUGGAAGGGCUUUACCUAGUAUUGUUUGGGAUUAUUAUGCUAACGGAUGUUCAGUGCGAUUGUUAAAUCCUCAAACUUUUAUCCCGAAAUUACAUACUUUGAAUGCUAUACUUCAAGAAUUUUUCGGAUGUUUUGUUGGGUCAAAUUCUUAUUUGACACCACCAAACAGUCAAGGAUUCGCCCCCCAUUAUGAUGAUAUUGAAGCUUUUAUACUACAAAUCGAAGGGAAAAAAAGAUGGAGGUUGUAUAAACCUAAAACGGAUAAUGAAAUUUUACCAAGGUACUCUUCGCUUAAUUUUUCACAACAAGAUCUAGGAGAACCCAUUCUCAAUACAGUAAUUGAAGCAGGAGACAUUUUAUAUUUUCCACGAGGGACUAUUCAUCAAGGAGAUA